GAUGAAGAACGCAGUGAAAUGCGAUAAGUAAUGUGAAUUGCAGAAUUCAGUGAAUCAUCGAAUCUUUGAACGCACAUUGCGCCCGCCAGUAUUCUGGCGGGCAUGCCUGUUCGAGCGUCAUUUCAACCAUCAAGCCCUGCUUGCGUUGGGGUCCUGCGGCUGCCCGCAGGCCCUGAAAACCAGUGGCGGGCUCGCUAGUCACACCGAGCGCAGUAAUACAUCUCGCUUUGGGCGUGCGGCGGGUUCUUGCCGUUAAACACCCCCUUUUUACCAAGGUUGACCUCGGAUCAGGUAGGGAUACCCGCUGAACUUAAGCAUAGCAAUAAGCGGAGGA
Molecule: unclassified non-coding RNA, 334 nt
Filed under: soil metagenome
Description: partial contains 5.8S ribosomal RNA, internal transcribed spacer 2, and large subunit ribosomal RNA
Rfam family: 5.8S ribosomal RNA (bases 1-120)
Source: RNAcentral